AAAAAAUUGCAGAUGAUUCAAAGGCUGUUAGAAUGGGACAUGCCAUUCCUGCUCCAGGAAGCAAUGGAGUUGCUGGUGCUGGUAUUGUGAAGAAGAUGAGCAUAAGGAGGUCAACUAGACUUACUAGACAGGAUGUUAGAGGACUUAGUGGGACACACAGAAAAAUGCUGUUCCCUUAUGAAGAAUUUGUUGAGAUAUUUAACUGUGAGGCUGUUAUCUUAUCACCUAGGGGACUUGUAAAUUGUGGAAACAGGUAUUGUAAUCAUUACUUUUGUCUUUUAUUUCAGUAAUUGCAAAUUUAGGAGUAGGGUGCAGAAUAUAAGAAAUUAUGUUUUUCUGAGAUGACAUAUUUAGAAUAACAUAAGAACUAAUUUUUUUUUUGGCAUAUGUAGUUUAUUUCAUUUGUAGAUGAGAACAACACAAUAAGAAUUUGUAAUGUGGAUUAUAGAAGGCAGCUAAUGUCAUGGUGAUGUGUAUCUGUGAACAUCAUGCACAACGACUGGGGAAAACUUGAUAUUACCCCGAAAGCUAGCUUAAAGGGGGGAGGAAUAUCUAAGGCCUUAUAAGGGAUAUAUUACCUCUAUGCCAAACCAAUGUAUGAUAUUACCUCUAUCCUAAACAUUAAUUGGAGACGCUUUGAUACCAUCUUAAAAAAAUGGAUCGAGCUUAACUUACCCCAAAAGCUAGCUCAGGGGAAGGACUGCCAAAAGCUUUAAUAAGAUGCACAUUACCUCUAUUCCAAAUCAAUUUAUGAUAUUAACACACCCUUUCACACUCAGGAUCAAACACUUGGAGCGUGAAAUUUCUAGGCUAACACAUUUGGCCCAACAUUGAAAUAGGGUGAGCUCUGAUACUAUGUAGAGAAAAUGAACUGAGCCUAACUCUAUCACAAAAGUUAGCUCAAAGGGGGAGGAGUGUCUAAAACCUUAUAAGAGAUACAUUACCCUUAUCCUAAACUAAUGUGGGAUAUUAACACACCCCCUUACAUCCAUAAUCAAAUACUUGGAGUGUGAAACACUUAUGAGAGGUCAAAACUCUGAUACCAUCUUAAGAAUACGGGUCAGGCUUAACUCACCCCCAAAAGUUAGCUCAAGGGGGAGGAGUGCCAAAAGCUUCAAUAACGGCACAUUACCUCAAUUACAAACCAAUAUAUGAUAUUAAGAGACUUAAAAUAUUAGACCAACAACUAAUAUAUUUGAAUAGACAUAUAAGUGGAACUCAUAAAGGACUAGAAAGUGCCCUAUAAUAUCCCAAACAAAAUCUAGACUGUAAUUCUAAAUUUCUUCAAUUUCUUGUUAUCUACAUUGGGAAAGUAACCACUCAAUGCCUAUUUAACUCUUUGAAAUUGAGAGCCAGGCUAUGGAAUUUGUGGCUUCUGUUUCUUCCUGCAAUAUAACUUUAUGGGUGAAACAUUUUUAUUGAUCACAGUUCCUAUCUUGCAGUUGUUAUGCCAAUGCUGUCCUUCAAUGUUUAACCUGCACAAAGCCACUGAUCAUCUUCUUGCUUCGUAGAUCACAUUCAAGAUCCU
Molecule: unclassified non-coding RNA, 1528 nt
Filed under: Hevea brasiliensis (rubber tree)
Lineage: Eukaryota; Viridiplantae; Streptophyta; Magnoliopsida; Malpighiales; Euphorbiaceae
Source: RNAcentral